GAAGAACGCAGCGAAAUGCGAUAAGUAGUGUGAAUUGCAGAAUUCAGUGAAUCAUCGAAUCUUUGAACGCACAUUGCGCCCUUUGGUAUUCCAAAGGGCAUGCCUGUUCGAGCGUCAUUUGUACCCUCAAGCUUUGCUUGGUGUUGGGCGUCUUGUCUCUAGCUUUGCUGGAGACUCGCCUUAAAGUAAUUGGCAGCCGGCCUACUGGUUUCGGAGCGCAGCACAAGUCGCACUCUCUAUCAGCAAAGGUC
This 251-nucleotide ribosomal RNA is filed under the name Alternaria alternata. Its description in RNAcentral is "partial 16S ribosomal RNA". The stretch from base 1 to 117 matches the Rfam family "5.8S ribosomal RNA", at positions 38 to 154 of the family's 154-position model. The record is from RNAcentral. Lineage: Eukaryota; Fungi; Ascomycota; Dothideomycetes; Pleosporales; Pleosporaceae.